Long non-coding RNA from Zea mays, 934 nucleotides. RefSeq lists it as uncharacterized. The record is from RefSeq and is a predicted model, not a curated record. Lineage: Eukaryota; Viridiplantae; Streptophyta; Magnoliopsida; Poales; Poaceae. The transcript is spliced from 3 exons.
CCUUUGCUGUGUUCUGGCCAGCUCAAGAACCACUGCAUCUGCCCCCUAUAAUCAGUACCUUGGGCUGCCGUAUUCAGUGAAGAUUUCUUCCUUGCCCUCAAAUUCUAGUCAAAGUUCACUGUUUGAGUGUGCAGUCCUUGUGUACUGCUGGUAUAACCCUCUCUGCAUCCUAGGUUUGCCUGUCCCAGAACCCUUCUCCCCAUGGACUAGAUACGCUCACUUCCCCAUGGACUAGAUACGCUCACUGACACACCCCUUUCCCUUGCUUACAUAUUCUGUAAUUUGGGGCUAGUUAUUUUGGAGCUCCUCACUGCCCUUAAAUUCCAGCCAAGACUCUUUGCAUAUGCGAGGUGUUCCUGAUGUUCUUAAGUCUACACAGCUUCCUCCCUAGCCACCAAAAUUUGGUCUGUACAGAGGCUGGGCACACCAUCAACUGUUGUUGUGGUGACCACUCCGGUCAGUUUGCCGCCUUGCCGUGGCCGGAGCGAUUCAAGAAGGGUCGUGCCGUCGUGAUCUAGCACUGCGGACAGCCUCCACGCUGGCCGAGCAACUCGCGCUUUCUCCAGCUGUUAGACAACAGCCGGUACACGAACUAAACCCUAUGAAAGUGCGACUAGUGAUCAAUGAUGGAGUGAGUAGGAUUGCCACCGCCAUAGAAUGUGAAAGCCACUACAUGUUGGCAAGAAUUGUGAGGACGAAUAGGAUGAGCAUGCAUCAUGACAUAUAACUUUAAAUUAAGCCCCAUAUGUAGCAGUAUUAGUACAUGUUUCGUCCACCCUAUUCAUGCUGUCAGUUUUUGCCUUUCUAUGCUACCUUUUCCUGUUCACGAUGACUACCAAGCUUCGAAACAAAGGUUUUGGUGAACCUGUGGCUUAUAAGGAACAAUUGUCAAACGAUUGAUUUUAAGUAUAUGCAAUGAACUAGUAUAAUAUUA